Molecule: ribosomal RNA, 253 nt
Filed under: uncultured bacterium
Lineage: Bacteria
Description: partial 16S ribosomal RNA
Rfam family: Bacterial small subunit ribosomal RNA
Source: RNAcentral
UACGGGGGGGGCAAGCGUUGUUCGGAAUUACUGGGCGUAAAGGGUUUGUAGGUGGCCAACUAAGUCAGACGUGAAAUCCCUCAGCUUAACUGGGGAACUGCGUCUGAGACUGGAUGGCUCGAGUGCAGGAGAGGAACGCGGAAUUCCAGGUGUAGCGGUGAAAUGCGUAGAUAUGCGGAGGAACACCGAUGGCGAAGGCAAUCCCCUGGACCUGUACUGACGCUCAUGCACGAAAGCGUGGGGAGCAAACAGG